UACGUAGGGACCAAGCGUUGUUCGGAUUUACUGGGCGUAAAGGGCGCGUAGGCGGCGUGGUAAGUCACUUGUGAAAUCUCUGAGCUUAACUCAGAACGGCCAAGUGAUACUGCUGUGCUAGAGUGCAGAAGGGGCAAUCGGAAUUCUUGGUGUAGCGGUGAAAUGCGUAGAUAUCAAGAGGAACACCUGAGGUGAAGACGGGUUGCUGGGCUGACACUGACGCUGAGGCGCGAAAGCGUGGGGAUCAAAUAGG
This 253-nucleotide ribosomal RNA is filed under the name uncultured bacterium. RNAcentral's name for it is "partial 16S ribosomal RNA". It matches the Rfam family "Bacterial small subunit ribosomal RNA", at positions 524 to 776 of the family's 1533-position model. The record is from RNAcentral.